GGGCGAAUAGCUCAGUUGGUUAGAGCGCCUGCCUUACAAGCAGGAGGUCACAGGUUCAACUCCUGUUUCGCCCA
This 74-nucleotide transfer RNA is filed under the name Pseudomonadota bacterium. Its description in RNAcentral is "tRNA-Val". It matches the Rfam family "tRNA". From Rfam's summary of the family: Transfer RNA (tRNA) molecules are approximately 80 nucleotides in length. Lineage: Bacteria; Pseudomonadati; Pseudomonadota. RNAcentral also lists the same sequence under 1 other name. The record is from RNAcentral.